UUUCCACAGCCCAAAAGGCCCAAACCAUAGGGAGAAAUUCACUCUCCUCCUCGACUCCGGCGACGGCGAUAAGCGGCUCCUUCUCCUCCUCCGCGACUCCGGCGACGGCGACGGCUGCGCCUCCUCCUCGUCCUCCUUCCACUCCCCAUCGCUAGCCUUGCGCUAGACAAAGCGCGGAAGGUGGUGGCUGCCUCGCUGCAAAUGAGCCACCGCAGGCGACGUAACGCCGCUGGCCCGCCGCCUCCCGAAGGCAUCGGCGGCUCGUCCACCGCAGAGGCCUCUUCGACGGGGGAGGAGAGGCCGGAUCUGCCGUGGGCGUGGGCGCUGGGAUCGGAGCGAAGGGUGCUCGCGCUGGCGCUGGCCUUCCGCGCGGCGAACGCGCUGCUGGUGCGCACCUACUUCAACCCCGACGAGCACUGGCAGUGCCUCGAGGUCGCCCACCGCAUCGUCUUCGGGUAUGGCCACCUUACUUGGGAGUGGAAGCGUGGUCUUCGAAGUUACCUCCACCCCUUCAUCUUUGCUGCUCUCUACAAGAUUCUUUCGCUGCUCCACUUGGAUUCCCCAUGGUUCAUGGCGAUGGCUCCACGUCUUCUACAAUCAGUCUUUGCAUCUUUUGGGGAUCUCUACUUAUAUAAACUUUCAAAACUCAUUUUCAAUAAUCACGUUGCCCAGUGGGCACUAUUUUCACAGCUUGUUAACUGGUUCAUGUUCUUCUGUAUUACACGGACUCUCUCAAACAGCAUGGAGACAGUUUUGACUGUUACUGGACUUUACUAUUGGUUUGUUGCAAUAGAGUCUGUAAAGGGAAAUUCGGUUGUUUCAAAGCAGCAGGCUGCCAGCAAGCAAAGCCCUCCAUCAAGAAAAAUGGCUCUACUCAUAGCAGCCUUAGCUUGUGCUAUUCGGCCAACAAGUGCCAUAACAUGGCUAUAUGUUGGUCUUUUGGAUUUUAUUCAGAUGAAAUCAAAAUCCCGGUUUAUUUUUCUCGAGGUCGUUCCGCUCGGGGUCUUUGUCCUUGCCGUGACAACGUUUCUUGAUUGUUGGAUGUAUGGUUCCCGGAUCAUAGUGCCACUUAAUUUUUUGAAAUUUAACCUCUUCUCUUCAGGAGGAGACUACUAUGGAACACAUGUGUUCCACUGGUACUUCAGCCAAGGUUUUCCAUCGAUGAUUUGGACUUUCUUACCGUUUUCCAUUUCUGGAAUUUUGAAGUCUCGAGAAUGGAGGCUUGCAGGUCUUAUUGUCUGGGUAUUAGUGGUUUAUAGCAUACUUGGACAUAAAGAAUUCAGGUUUGUUCUCCCGGUGCUUCCUUUUAUGUUCAUGUUCUCAGGACAUAACUUAGCUGCAAUGGCACAACUCAAGGGAAAAGGUCACAAUGAGAAAGGACGACUUUCGAGGUUGAAGCUCUCUGUCAUUCUGCUCAUCCUAACAAAUGUUCCAAUGGCUUUAUAUAUGUCCUUAUACCAUCAAAGAGGAACUGAAGAUGCUAUGCUUUAUCUAUCACGAGAAGCCCAUGAUGGAAGAGUAAAGAGUGUCCUCUUCCUUAUGCCUUGCCAUUCGACACCUUAUUACUCUACAUUACAUUACAACCUACCUAUGCGCUUUUUGGACUGUACUCCUAGUGAAAACAAAGGGACCUUGGAUGAGUCAGACCGUUUCCUCAUGAACCCAGCAGAUUUUGUGGGCGAGGUUUUUGGAAAUUUAUCUUCGUUCAGUCAUAUUGUAUUAUUUGAAUCUGAAGAAAGGCAUGUCAAGUUGCUUCUGCGCAAUUCAUUUCAAGAGGUUAGGAGAUUUUUUCACUCCCACUUCAAGGUUGAUAGAGACCUUCAAUCGUCAGUUGUUGUUUAUUCACAGAAGAGUGUAUUGUGAUCACUGUGGCAGAAAAGGCUCGUUAGUGUACUAUCUUGUCUAACAUUUCUAAUCAUGUUUCACCCUACUUUAAUUUAUCAUUCGAGAAAUGAUCUAUAGUUUGGGCCUUUAUUUUGAUAUAUUGAUUUUUUCCCAUCCUUUGUGAUGUAAUUCUAUUUCUAUGUAUUAGCGCCAACUUCCAUGUUUUCACAAAAAAAAAAUCAUUUCCAUAACUAGAGGUGUGAAGAAGUUUUAGAGGUUUAACAAAACGAAGACAAGAGACGAGCAGAGCUCCUCUUCUAGAGAAACUGGCGCCAUCCCAACCAGCUCUUCAGGAACAAGUUCCAUUCCAUCCAUCUCAACCAAGUUUCAAAAGUGAGCAAGUAACAAAGAGGCAAAAGGUGGUUGUUUUCCAGGAACUCUUCAUAGUCUCCAACAGUCCAACUCUCCAUCUUGACCUCCCAGCAUCUUUCCAAUCUUCCUCUGCAUCACUGAAGUCAUCCACUUCCAGUAUUGAAGUGCCAACUAUGUCUUUCUCUGAAGAUCUUCCAUGGUGAAAGUAGGACAAACCAUCAGGCAAAACAAAAAGGGGACAGAUCAUUCCAUGGCAAAUCUUUGUGCGGACAUACUGAACCUCAUAAAAUCAUGUCAAAUGUAAGUUAAAAUCAUGUCAAAUUGUCAUCAAGCUUCCACUUUGUCCAGUGAUGGAAGGGUCAUACUGUCAUGAGUUUUCAAGCAAACAUACAGUUUCACCGUUAGCACUCUCAAUCAAUUGUUCACGCCAGGUGCUUCUUAUUGCUUUUAACCUUUCAGCUACUUCUGUCGUCAAUGUCCGUUCUCCCCCCGUUGUACUCAAGCAACAUUUUGCCAGUUGAGCAACAUCUUGGAACAGCUCUGUUCCAACACCUAAUAUGUUCUUGUCCAAGAUAGAUUGAAGCCUGUUCUCUUUCAGUGCCAGAAGGAAAAGGAUGAUGCAAGGCUUUUGUUUUCAUCAGCACUGUCAGAAUAAAUUGCCGUCUUUCCUGUAAUUAGCUCUAGAAUCACAACUCCAAAACUAUAAACAUCACUUUUCUCUGUUAGCUGGCGCUCUUGUAACUUUUUAAGUAUUCUGGGUCUAGGUAGCCUGGAGUCCCCUGUACCAUUUUCAUAAAUUGUAUUUCAUCUUUUGGAAGCAUCCUUGAUGCUCCAAAAUCAGUCACUUUUGCUAUGUACUUGUCACCUAGGAGAAUAUUUGGAGAUUUGACAUCGCCAUGAA
This is a non-coding RNA of Oryza sativa Japonica Group (Japanese rice), 3097 nucleotides long. The record is from RefSeq and is a predicted model, not a curated record. Lineage: Eukaryota; Viridiplantae; Streptophyta; Magnoliopsida; Poales; Poaceae.